This 93-nucleotide non-coding RNA is filed under the name bovine gut metagenome. Its description in RNAcentral is "Glycine riboswitch". It matches the Rfam family "Glycine riboswitch aptamer", at positions 9 to 86 of the family's 94-position model. Rfam says of the family: This family represents the bacterial glycine riboswitch. Glycine riboswitches usually consist of two metabolite-binding aptamers domains with similar structures in tandem. The record is from RNAcentral.
CGGCACUCUGGAGACGCCCGCGGGAAAAGCCGCGGGGGCCGAAGGUGAAAGCGCCGGGUCCGGCGUGAAUCUCUCAGGCAAAAGGACAGAGCC